This 353-nucleotide long non-coding RNA is filed under the name Bos taurus (domestic cattle). RNAcentral describes it as "long non-coding RNA NONBTAT019116". The record is from RNAcentral. Lineage: Eukaryota; Metazoa; Chordata; Mammalia; Artiodactyla; Bovidae.
AAUUGAAGUAUUUAUUGUAUAACGUUGUCAGGUGGAAUAUAUUUAUGUAUAAAAACUGCCUGUUUGAGUAUUUUUUUAUGUGGUUAUACAAAGUUACAGAAGCAAAGGGCCGACCUUAAAAAUACAGAAUCGGAGUCCUUUAGGCCAGGCUCCUGAGGACAAGGGGCGUUCUCCAGGGGUUGGAGGGGGAGCGUGGGUUUGGCCAGGGAAGCCCCACGCCAAGCCUCUCCCCACUCCAGGAAGCGGCACUCUGGGAAUUAGGGACACGUGCUCACAGACUGGUGCCUUGUCGGCUGUAAGAAAACGUUUGGCUGAGUAACUUGCGCGGUUUCCCAUGUCUGAGACGCCGAGGC